Molecule: ribosomal RNA, 497 nt
Filed under: uncultured bacterium
Lineage: Bacteria
Description: partial 16S ribosomal RNA
Rfam family: Bacterial small subunit ribosomal RNA
Source: RNAcentral
GAUGAACGCUGGCGGCGUGCCUAACACAUGCAAGUCGAGCGAACAGACGAGGAUCUUGCUCCUCGGUCGUUAGCGGCGGACGGGUGAGUAACACGUGGAUAACCUACCUAUAAUACUGGGAUAUCUUGGGGACACCGGAGCUAAUACCAGAUAAUCUAUUGCACCGCGUGGUGGGAUGGAAAAAUACGGUGUUUGUGGCACGUAUAGAUGGAUACGCGCCGUAUUAGCUAGUAGGUAGGUUAACAGCUUACCAAGGCGACGAUGCGUAGCCGAACGGAGAGGGUGAUAGGCGACACUGGAAGUGAGACACGGUCAUGACUACUGCGGGAGGCAGCAGUAGGCAAUGUGACGCAGUGGGCGAAAGCAUGACGGAGCAACCCCGAGUGAGAGAUGAAGGUCUCGGGUGCGUAAUACUCUGUUAUUAGGGAUGAACAAAUGUGUAAGUAACUGUGCCCGUCUUGACGGUAACUAGUAAGAAAGCACCGGCUAACUACGUG